RNAcentral lists this non-coding RNA (45 nucleotides) under Schistosoma mansoni. Lineage: Eukaryota; Metazoa; Platyhelminthes; Trematoda; Strigeidida; Schistosomatidae. The record is from RNAcentral.
AUCCAGCUGACGAGUACCAAAUAGGACAAAACACGCGUCCUGGAU